GAUGAACGCUGGCGGUGUGCCUAAUACAUGCAAGUCGAGCGGUAACACUUCGGGUGACGAGCGGCGGACGGCUGGGUAACGCGUAGGAAUGUACCCCAGAGUGAGGGAUAAGCACCAGAAAUGGUGUCUAAUACCGCAUACGACCUACGGGCGACAGGGGGGGAUCGCAAGACUCCUCGCUAUUGGCGCGGCCGAUAUCAGAUUAGCUAGUUGGUGGGGUAAAGGCCUACCAAGGCAACGAUCUGUAGUUGGUCUGAGAGGACGACCAGCCACACUGGGACUGAGACACGGCCCAGACUCCUACGGGAGGCAGCAGUGGGGAAUUUUGGACAAUGGGCGCAAGCCUGAUCCAGCAAUGCCGCGUGCAGGAAGAAGGCCUUCGGGUUGUAAACUGCUUUUGUCAGGGAAGAAAUCCUCUAGGUUAAUACCCUUGGGGGGAUGACGGUACCUGAAGAAUAAGCACCGGCUAACUACGUGGCAGCAGCCGCAGUAA
Molecule: ribosomal RNA, 493 nt
Filed under: uncultured bacterium
Lineage: Bacteria
Description: partial 16S ribosomal RNA
Rfam family: Bacterial small subunit ribosomal RNA
Source: RNAcentral